UGGUGGAAGUGGCGAAGGGUGAGUUCAGGGAUGCACGGAGGGGUCAGACUGUCCGUCACACUGCAGACAGGGAUGAAGACUGACAAUCCCCAUAAUCUGAUCUUGAAAACAGAUUAAUGAGCCUCCUGUCCACACUUGAGAACAGAUCACAGUUUCGCCUGGCCAGGGUUCGAAAGGUUAAGCUGAUCUUAACUGGUCAGACAAAGAGACUCGCUCCCGAACCAGGCCCUACGUGUAAUUAGGUAGGUCAAGUCACUUCCUGAAAAGGUGUUGGAGGACAAAUGUCAUGCCCUCUCUCACCGAUGUCACAUGGACAAUCACUUUUACAAAUUUCCAGAUCGUCAGCCGUCCUGCAUCUCUUCUCCAGGUUGUGCUUGUUGCUGUCGUUAGCGAGCACGGCUUGGUAGCCCUCGGACUUGGGGAUGUUUUCCCACACUGGCCAGCAGAAGUAAAUUACACUGAUCAGCCAUUUUUACAGCCUGUGAAAGAGGUCUAAGUGGAAUACCUACUGGCCGUGCCUUCAAGCCCGCGGCGAGGAGAUUUAUGGCGUUUGUGAAGAGAGCAGCCUCCACCCAGCUGCCGAGGGAGUCACGGGAAUCAGGGCCUGGCUGGGGCUCCCCCCAUGCGUCCCCGGAGCAAUGCAGCUGUGGCGGACUGUGGGGCCUGCUCCGCUGGGGAGUCCCAGGUUCGCAGACUGGGGGGGGGGCGGCAGGGUUCCCCCAGAGUGACCCACCCACCACCCGGUAAUCGUGUCACCGUCAUAUGGUCACAUCUGACGAGCAGUGCCACAUACCCUGCAGGUGAACACUCACAGAUUAUACCUAUGCUAAUGGCACAAAAAAAUGGUAGCUGUAUUUUUGAGCCAAAAACAGGUCGGUAUUUCCAUACCAGUUGGAUGUGAGCUUACACUGAAUAGGGAAAUACUGGGGAAAUAAUCAUCACAUGUACAGGUGGAUUUGAGUCCAACAUGCACCAGCUCAGUGGGUCUUACUUAGAGAACCGUGUCUUGUAGCAUCAAAACUGCGAGAAUUUCUCACAUGAUGGGAAUGAUAUAAAAAUGACGGAACUCAGUUUUUGUGUCAGUUUUUUAAUUCACAUUGUUUAACCCCCAAAACCAAAACAAACACUGCUAUGUGCAGGAUAUGGGUUAUUUAUAGAAGUCAUUAAGAAGGAAAUAUAGAGAUCAAUUCCUUUAAAUGUAUGUAUAUAUGUUUUAUAAUGCUGAAGCUUGCAUGCACUGACCUCCCAUUUCCUUUCCCUCUGACCCGCUGCACCCGGGUGUCUGGGUGACCUGAAUGCCCCCGAAUGGAAGCGAUGUGAGAGGCACUGGCCAUGCAGGGUGACCUAAAGCGACCAAAAGUUCUGCUACAUGCGUCUCUUUCACUCCCGCGUUCCGCGCCAUGACCGUGGAGGAGCCCAGGCUGCACCUGCUCUGCGUUCAGCUAUGUCUGGAGGCUGCUCAUUCUGUCAAAGAUAGUAGAUGAGGAACCCCUGCCCCCCCCGCCCCGAUUGCAUUGGAAAUGGAUUGUCUGCUAACUGGACAGCAAGGCUGAUCCUCCCUUUUUUGGAUGGUUGCCGUAGUAAGGUGCCGUGGCCUUGCUUUUGGAAGGAGGAGUCCUGAUUAAAGCGGAGCAGGGAUAUGCACAUGUUUGACACAGACCCUCCGCAUACUAAACAGACCCGCAGCACUCCAAACAGGAAGUGACUUAAUCCAGAUGGGAAACCGAAGGGCAGGUCACCUCCACUGCUGACAGGUGACAGCAGGCAGCCCCGACAUAUCCUCUCCUGUCUACACAUGGGACAAUUUGUCGUGAAUAAAUCAACUUUUCGCUGAUUUAUCUGUGGUCAACUGGAGACAGGCCCCUCAACGACGACCCAAUAAGCAGGACCGGCAUUGUACAGCAUGUACGGGAAGUACGGCUCACGAGAUUACCGAAGUGUCACGAGAUUUUUGCCUUUAAUUAAAUGCUGCCCGACACUCUUACUCACUGAAGUCACGGAUAGCCCAAUUAUGGCUACUGGCUAUUGUAAACAUGGAAAUACUUGUACAAGUGUUUUGAUUCUGCGGACCUGUCAACAUGACUGUUUUGAUUGGGAGGGAUAAGAGCACCUUGGACACUGAGAUUAAAGGAUUUCAGAAGAAUGUAAAUCCAGGUCGUCACGUGGGGACCGAAGCAGAAUGGGACACAUUGAAAUCACAUACUGCAUUAAACUGUGUGGCUGAAAAAUUUAAUUUAAUGUACAGCUUUCACAUGGAUUACAUCUGACUAAAGCCGUUUUAGGAUGCUCCUUAUGAAUGAAUUUUAAAGCAUGAAAUUAUGUUAAAAGAUAUGAGACACACACAAACACACACGUUUGUAUACCUUCCAUUCAUUUCUAUGGGCAAAACCCUAAUCCCAACAAUGACACCCUAACCCCUACCCAGCCCUAAAAUGAACCAUAACUAACCAAACAAAACACAAGUCUUUUGGCAUUUUUAGUUUUUUGAUUGCAUUCCCAGACUUUUAUAGAAUUGGAUGUUCCCCCACAACGUCAAAUUAACGGGUUUUUAUCACAAUGUGGGGACAUUUGGUCCCCACAAUGUAAUAUACUGUAUACAUAACACAGACACACACCCACACAGUGACACCCACGCAGUGACACCCAUGCAGUGACACCCACGCAGUUCACUCACAGGCUGUCACAUAUCAA
Brienomyrus brachyistius is the source of this 2691-nucleotide long non-coding RNA. RefSeq lists it as uncharacterized. NCBI's taxonomy places the organism in Eukaryota, Metazoa, Chordata, Actinopteri, Osteoglossiformes, Mormyridae. The record is from RefSeq and is a predicted model, not a curated record. The transcript has 5 exons.